CUGCCCCGCCCCGUCCCGUUCCGUUCCUCUGCCCCACCCCGUCCCGUUCCGUUCCGCUGCCCAGUCCUGCUGGUACUCACUAGGUAGUAGCGGCAACGGACGCCAUGGGGACCGCCUCGUCGCUCGUGAGCCCCGCGGGCGGGGAAGUGAUCGAGGACACGUACGGGGCGGGCGGCGGCGAGGCCUGCGAGAUCCCGGUGGAGGUGAAGCCCAAGGCCCGCCUGCUGCGCAACUCGUUCCGCCGAGGCGCGGGGGCGGCAGCAGGGGCCGGGCCCGGGUCGCUGCCCCGCGGGGUGGGCGCGGGCGGGCUGCUGGGGGCCAGCUUCAAGUCCACUGGCUCGUCGGUGCCAGAGCUGGAGUACGCGGCGGCCGAGUACGAGCGGCUCAGGAAGGAGUACGAGAUCUUUCGCGUCAGCAAGAACCAGGAGUUGUUGUCCAUGGGCCGCCGCGAGGCCAAGCUGGACACGGAGAACAAGCGGCUGCGGGCCGAACUGCAGGCACUUCAAAAAACGUAUCAGAAGAUACUUCGAGAAAAAGAAAGUGCUUUAGAAGCGAAAUACCAAGCAAUGGAGAGAGCAGCAACAUUUGAACAUGACAGAGAUAAAGUUAAAAGGCAAUUCAAGAUUUUUAGGGAGACCAAAGAAAAUGAAAUUCAGGACUUACUGAGGGCCAAGAGGGAGUUGGAGAGCAAACUUCAGAGGCUACAGGCUCAGGGUAUCCAAGUAUUUGAUCCUGGGGAGUCUGAUUCAGAUGACAACUGUACAGAUGUCACUGCUGCUGGAACCCAAUGUGAAUAUUGGACUGGCGGAGCCUUGGGAAGUGAACCUUCCAUAGGAAGCAUGAUCCAGCUUCAGCAGUCCUUCAGAGGCCCUGAGUUUGCCCAUAGUUCUAUAGAUGUGGAAGGACCCUUUGCAAAUGUUAAUAGAGAUGACUGGGAUAUUGCUGUAGCUAGUUUAUUACAAGUUACUCCUCUGUUUUCACAUUCUCUGUGGAGUAACACUGUCAGAUGUUACCUCAUUUAUACAGAUGAAACCCAGCCUGAGAUGGAUCUUUUCCUUAAGGACUAUUCACCUAAACUUAAGAGAAUGUGCGAGACAAUGGGAUAUUUUUUCCAUGCUGUUUAUUUUCCAAUAGAUGUUGAAAAUCAAUACCUCACUGUAAGAAAAUGGGAAAUUGAGAAAAGUUCUUUAGUUAUUUUAUUUAUUCACUUAACAUUACCAAGCCUUUUAUUGGAAGACUGUGAAGAAGCUUUUCUGAAAAACCCUGAAGGAAAACCUCGAUUAAUCUUUCAUCGUUUGGAAGAUGGAAAAGUCAGUUCUGACUCUGUCCAGCAAUUGAUUGAUCAAGUUUCUAAUCUAAACAAGACCAGCAAAGCCAAGAUCAUUGAUCACUCAGGAGAUCCUGCAGAAGGAGUAUAUAAAACUUAUAUUUGUGUAGAAAAGAUUAUUAAACAGGACAUACUGGGUUUUGAGAACACAGACUUGGAGACUAAGGAUUUGGGCAGUGAGGAUUCCAUUCCAGAAGAAGAUGAUUUUGGUGAUGUUCUGUGGGACAUACAUGAUGAACAAGAGCAAAUGGAAACUUUUCAGCAGGCUUCUAAUUCAGCCCAUGAGUUGGGAUUUGAGAAAUAUUACCAACGCCUUAAUGAUCUAGUGGCAGCACCAGCCCCGAUUCCACCUCUUCUCGUGUCUGGAGGACCAGGUUCUGGGAAGUCUCUUCUUUUAUCAAAGUGGAUUCAAUUACAACAGAAGAAUUCCCCCAACACACUGAUUCUUUCCCAUUUUGUGGGAAGGCCCAUGUCAACCAGCUCAGAGUCCUCCUUGAUUAUUAAACGACUAACUCUAAAGUUGAUGCAGCACUCUUGGUCAGUCUCUGCUCUGACACUGGAUCCUGCUAAGCUUCUGGAAGAAUUUCCACGUUGGCUGGAAAAACUCUCUGCUCGUCAUCAAGGCAGCAUCAUCAUCGUUAUUGAUUCUAUAGAUCAAGUUCAGGUUGUGGCCUACACUUCAUCUUGAUCCCUUAAGUCCAAAAGAUGCAAAAUCUAUUAUAAUUGCAGAAUGCCACUCUGUAGACAUUAAAUUGAGUAAAGAGCAGGAGAAGAAGCUAGAACGACACUGUCGUUCUGCUACAACCUGCAAUGCCCUUUAUGUCACCCUUUUCGGCAAAAUGAUCGCGCGUGCUGGGAGAGCAGGCAAUUUAGAUAAAAUCCUUCAUCAGUGUUUCCAGUGUCAAGAUACUCUUUCAUUAUAUAGACUUGUUCUGCACUCUAUCCGGGAGUCCAUGGCAAAUGAUGUGGAUAAAGAGCUAAUGAAGCAGAUCCUCUGCCUUGUCAAUGUUAGUCACAAUGGUGUGAGUGAAUCAGAACUGAUGGAACUCUAUCCUGAGAUGUCCUGGACUUUCUUGACCUCCCUUAUUCACAGUUUAUACAAAAUGUGUUUGUUGACUUAUGGAUGUGGCUUGCUUAGGUUUCAACAUCUGCAGGCUUGGGAAACAGUGAGAUUGGAGUACCUGGAAGGCCCCACUGUUACUUCUUCAUACAGGCAAAAGCUAAUCAACUAUUUCACCUUGCAGCUAAGUCAGGACAGAGUGACUUGGAGAAGUGCAGAUGAACUCCCGUGGCUUUUUCAGCAGCAGGGAAGUAAACAGAAGCUGCAUGAUUGCCUUCUUAAUCUCUUUGUGUCUCAAAACCUUUAUAAAAGGGGACACUUUGCUGAGUUGCUGAGUUAUUGGCAGUUUGUUGGCAAAGACAAAAGUGCAAUGGCAACAGAAUACUUCGAUUCAUUGAAGCAGUAUGAGAAAAACUGCGAAGGCGAGGACAACAUGAGUUGCUUAGCUGAUCUUUAUGAAACCUUGGGGCGAUUUCUCAAGGAUCUAGGCCUUCUCAGUCAGGCCAUAGUACCUUUGCAGAGGUCUUUAGAGAUUCGAGAAACAGCUUUAGAUCCCGAUCACCCAAGAGUAGCCCAGUCCCUCCACCAACUAGCAAGUGUAUACGUGCAGUGGAAGAAGUUUGGCAAUGCAGAACAACUGUAUAAACAGGCGUUGGAAAUCUCAGAAAAUGCUUAUGGUGCGGACCAUCCAUAUACUGCUCGUGAACUUGAAGCACUUGCAACUUUGUACCAGAAACAAAAUAAAUAUGAACAAGCUGAACAUUUUAGGAAAAAAUCCUUUAAAAUUCAUCAGAAAGCUAUAAAGAAAAAAGGCAACUUGUACGGAUUUGCCCUUUUACGUAGACGGGCUUUACAGUUAGAAGAGCUUACAUUAGGUAAGGACACACCUGAUAAUGCUCGGACCCUCAAUGAACUGGGUGUUCUCUACUAUCUUCAAAAUAACCUGGAAACAGCUGACCAGUUUCUGAAGCGUUCCUUAGAAAUGAGGGAGCGAGUUCUAGGACCAGAUCACCCUGACUGUGCUCAGUCUUUGAAUAAUCUGGCAGCUCUAUGCAAUGAAAAGAAACAGUAUGAUAAAGCAGAAGAACUUUAUGAAAGAGCUUUAGAUAUUCGGAGACGUGCAUUAGCUCCUGAUCACCCUUCUUUGGCAUAUACGGUGAAGCAUCUUGCCAUCUUGUAUAAGAAAAUGGGGAAACUUGACAAAGCUGUACCUUUGUAUGAAUUGGCUGUUGAAAUUCGACAGAAAUCUUUUGGCCCAAAGCACCCUAGUGUAGCUACUGCCUUGGUGAACUUAGCUGUUCUUUAUAGCCAAAUGAAAAAACACGUUGAAGCUUUGCCAUUAUAUGAAAGAGCAUUAAAGAUUUAUGAAGAUAGCCUGGGUCGGAUGCAUCCUCGAGUUGGAGAAACACUGAAAAAUUUAGCUGUGCUUAGCUAUGAAGGAGGAGAUUUUGAAAAAGCUGCUGAAUUAUACAAAAGGGCAAUGGAAAUAAAAGAAGCAGAAACAUCACUCUUGGGUGGAAAAGCUCCUUCACGCCAUUCAUCAAGUGGAGACACGUUUAGCUUAAAAACAGCUCAUUCUCCUAAUGUUUUCCUUCAGCAAGGACAAAGGAAAGUCCAAUCCAACCUUUUAUCUCCAGAAGGGCUUUCAAACAUAUGUGCUCAGGAAAAAACCACCAGGUUCACUUCUUCCUAAAGCACAUCAGAUUGAUAGAGAAUUUAAAGUCCAGAAAGCCUUGUUUUCAAUUGGAUUCCCCGUUCCCAAGCCUAUACUGUACUGCAGUGAUACUUCUGUCAUUGGAACAGAAUUUUACGUAAUGGAACAUGUGCAGGGUCGAAUCUUCCGUGAUUUAACAAUUCCUGGACUUAGCCCAGCAGAACGUUCAGCCAUAUAUGUGGCCACGGUAGAAACAUUGGCUCAGUUACAUUCCUUGAAUAUACAGUCACUGCAGCUGGAAGGAUAUGGUAUAGGUGCUGGGUACUGCAAAAGACAGGUAUCAACCUGGACAAAGCAAUAUCAAGCUGCAGCUCAUCAGGACAUCCCUGCCAUGCAACAGCUAUCGGAGUGGCUAAUGAAGAACUUGCCCGAUAAUGACAAUGAAGAGAAUUUGAUUCAUGGAGAUUUCAGACUAGAUAACAUAGUUUUCCACCCUAAAGAGUGUCGAGUUAUAGCAGUGCUGGAUUGGGAGCUGUCAACCAUUGGUCAUCCUUUGUCAGACUUAGCUCAUUUUUCCCUGUUCUACUUUUGGCCAAGGACAGUUCCAAUGAUAAAUCAAGGUUCUUAUAGUGAAAACUCAGGGAUACCAUCAAUGGAAGAACUGAUUUCAAUAUAUUGCCGCUGCAGGGGAAUUAAUUCUAUUCUUCCUAACUGGAAUUUCUUUCUUGCCCUUUCAUAUUUUAAGAUGGCUGGAAUAGCACAGGGAGUAUAUAGCAGAUAUCUUCUGGGAAAUAAUUCAUCUGAGGAUAGCUUUUUAUUUGCCAAUAUUGUGCAACCUCUGGCAGAAACUGGACUACAACUCUCCAAACGAACUUUCAGUACUGUACUACCACAGAUUGAUACUACUGGACAGUUGUUUGUACAGACUCGGAAAGGUCAGGAAGUUCUUAUUAAGGUGAAGCAUUUCAUGAAACAACACAUUCUUCCAGCUGAAAAGAUUAUGAGACUGAUGCACUGCCCUACUGCGCUAAGGAGGCAACCUCCUCUUUCUAAGAGCUUUUCUUUCUCUUUAAUGUUCUGUAGUUUUACUAUGCUCUGGCUUCAUUGGCUUUCCGAAUUUGAGGAUUGCUGUCUUAUCAGUUCCGAAAACUUUUAAGAGAGGUAACUGAGUUCUAUGUUCAAAAUGAAAAUUCAGUGGACAAGUGGGGAAAACCUUUAGUGAUUGAUAAACUCAAGGAAAUGGCCAAAGUCGAGGGUCUCUGGAACUUGUUUUUGCCAGCUGUCAGCGGACUCAGCCACGUGGACUAUGCCUUGAUUGCUGAAGAAACAGGAAAAUGCUUUUUUGCUCCAGAUGUCUUUAACUGCCAAGCACCAGACACAGGGAAUAUGGAGGUUCUGCACCUGUAUGGAAGUGAGGAACAGAAGAAACAGUGGCUUGAGCCUCUUCUUCAAGGGAACAUUACCUCUUGCUUCUGUAUGACAGAACCUGAUGUAGCUUCAAGUGAUGCCACGAAUAUUGAAUGCAGCAUCCAACGAGAUGAAGAUAGCUAUGUAAUUAACGGCAAAAAAUGGUGGAGCAGUGGAGCUGGGAAUCCCAAGUGCAAAAUUGCAAUUGUUUUGGGAAGAACUCAAAAUACUUCUCUCUCCAGGUAAUUAAACAAUUCUGAUUGAGAAACCUGUGUAGGAAUGAGCCAGUCUUCCUCCUAUCUAGGUAAUUUACUUAAAAUUCACUGUUUGGACUCACAAAUCAUAAUGUAAGAUAUGAGAGUAAAUGUCAUAUAUUUGUAUUUCACAAGUAUUUUCUAACAGGUGUUUUUGGAAAACAUUAUAGGGAGUAUUGCUGAACAUUCUUCGCUGUGGAAUUUUCAGUAUUAGAAAGUGUUGCUAAAUUAUCAAAGCUGUUUGGAUUAAAUUAUCAGACAAAUUUUUUCAGACCUGUGUAAUGAAGUGAUUAGAUGUUUAGAUCAAAGGCAAUAAUCUUGAAAUGUUUAAUUAUAUAUAUAAGUUCCCAGUUACCAUUGUUGAGCAGUGAGAAGCUUCAAUCAAACAACUCAUUUAUUUUCAAAUCAUUGUUUCUGUUCCAGAUCACAGCCUGCAUCAGACUAUGUUGGUGUACGUCUUUUACACAGUUCCCAUUCCAGUCAUCACUGCUUACAUGACUACAUGAAAACAUCAAAAAGACAAUUGUGAUUCUGCUUAUUAUCUGUUUUAUUUUUCUUCUUAGCAAACUUUUUCUAAUACAAUUUUUCUUUUGACUAGACACAAACAGCACAGCAUGAUUCUUGUUCCCAUGAACACACCUGGAGUAAAAAUAAUAAGGCCUUUGUCAGUUUUUGGCUACACAGAUAAUUUUCAUGGAGGACAUUUUGAGAUCCAUUUUAAUCAAGUGCGAGUUCCUGCCACAAAUCUAAUACUAGGUGAAGGUAGGGGAUUUGAAAUUUCCCAAGGCCGCCUUGGACCUGGCAGAAUCCACCACUGUAUGAGAACAGUAGGUUUGGCGGAACGCGCUUUGCAGAUCAUGUGUGAGCGGGCAACACAAAGGAUAGCUUUCAAGAAGAAGUUGUAUGCACAUGAGGUUGUGGCUCACUGGAUUGCUGAAAGCCGCAUUGCCAUUGAGAAGAUCCGCUUGUUGACUCUGAAAGCUGCUCACAGCAUGGACACUCUGGGCAGUGCUGGCGCUAAGAAAGAGAUUGCAAUGAUCAAAGUGGCUGCCCCACGGGCUGUCAGCAAAAUCGUUGACUGGGCCAUCCAGGUGUGCGGAGGUGCUGGUGUUUCCCAGGAUUACCCUCUGGCUAACAUGUAUGCUAUAACCCGAGUUUUGCGUUUAGCAGAUGGACCUGACGAAGUUCAUCUUUCAGCAAUCGCAACAAUGGAGCUGCGGGACCAAGCCAAAAGACUGACAGCCAAGAUAUAAGGAGGGUGGCACUGCCACAUCCCACUGGCAGAAACUCUCCUUUAUACAAACUUCAUUGGCUCCAACAUUUGAAUCUCAUAUUUUUGUAGCAGUUUGAGCACAGGGUUAAUUAUUCAUUUGUGGUAAAGAUUAUAGCAUCUAUUUUGAUCAGUGGGUUUUAUUAUUUCAAGGGUCACACAGGGUUAAGUUCAGUAAGAAAUGCUGUAGCUGUUGUCAUUCAAUCUAGUGCCUCCUUGAGGCCAGGAGUUCAGGACCAGCCUGGGCAACAUAGCGAGACCCCCAUUGCUACAAAAAAUUUAAAAAUGAAACAAGUGUGGUGGCACAUGCUUGUAGUCCUAGCUACUUGGGAGGCUGAGGCAGGAGGAUUGCUUGAGUCUAGGAGUUUGAGGUUACAGUAAGCUGUGAUCGUGACAUGGCCUCCAGCCUGGGUGACCGAGUGAGACUGUUUCUAAAAAUAAAAACAAAAAAUAAAUUUCUUCUUGAGGUGGGGUGGAGGUGGGGAGCAAGAAUUUGACCUGGCUCUGAUCCCUGGUGUGUUGUGUGGGCCUCUUUAACGUUUGCCACUGAGCCUUAACCUCACUGUACUUCACUGUACUUCACACGCAUUGGUGUUAACAUUUUAAUCUUAGAAGACCCUGACCCACUGAGGGUUUGUUGUGAGAAUUGCUGAAGCCACGUAGAAGCACCUUGAAAUCUGUAAAACCACAAGAAAGUACUUUAUAAAAGGUAUCCUUAUUUGAAGUGGAUAAAUCUUGUAACUCGAAAAGUUGUGAUUUAGAAGACAGGAUUGUUUUUGAACAUUAGGAAUUAAAGGCUAUAUCUGGUCCUUACAA
Molecule: long non-coding RNA, 7788 nt
Filed under: Homo sapiens (human)
Lineage: Eukaryota; Metazoa; Chordata; Mammalia; Primates; Hominidae
Description: non-protein coding lnc-ACAD11-4:1
Source: RNAcentral